Long non-coding RNA from Acanthopagrus latus (yellowfin seabream), 1378 nucleotides. RefSeq lists it as uncharacterized. The record is from RefSeq and is a predicted model, not a curated record. Lineage: Eukaryota; Metazoa; Chordata; Actinopteri; Spariformes; Sparidae. The transcript is spliced from 5 exons.
ACGGCAUUCUAUCUUUCAUCACACAGAUUUUUCAAGCCGCCAGUACAGACCUCAAAAGUGGAAUCUGUCUUUAUUGAAUCAUUGCCUAUUAAUAGACAUCCAAUAAUGUUGAGCAUCACAGAUAGCAGCAUUGUAUAUCAUCACAUCUCCCAGCUUUGUGUUCCCCUUUAUUUAGUCAGUUUCCGUCCUGUGCUUCCUGUAUUUUAUUUUGGUUCUCACUGUGUUGUCUCUGUUCCAGGUCAGUCACCUCCCAUCCUUGUGUCCUUCCCGCCUGUGUGAUUACCUGCCCCGCCCUGAUGUGUUUCACCUGUGUCUCUUUGUCUCACCUCCUGUGUGCUUAAGUAGCCUGUCUCACCCACCUCCAGUGCCAGUUCGUCUUAGUUUGUCUAGCGUUCCAGCCUUUUGUUCCCUGAGCUCCUAGUGUAUUUUUCCAGUUUUUUUGACUUUGCCUGUUGUCUCCGACUCUGCCUCUGCCUGACCCUUUUGGAUAUUGUUUGCCUGUCUGGACUGAUUAUCUGUGUACCGAACUCUUUUGAUUAUUAAAAACCCUUCUCAGUGAUCUGCAUCCUGCGCUUUUGGGUCCUGUCUCUGUACGCCUGUUACAUAUAUGGCACAAAACAGGCAACCAUUCAAGGGACAACUCAUGUGGCAGUGUGUGAGUAAAGGAGCAAGACCACACCAAGCAGCCAUCCUCAGCCCAUUCUCUCACAUUGACCAGACGGAGACUGAAGAUUGUUUGGACCCCUCUGUGAACACUUGUGGUCACCUGCCUUGGCACACUUCACAACAUAAUUAAAGGUUUUGCACUUUAAAUGGAAGCAACUGCUCUCAAACUAAGGGUCAACCUUGAUGAUGUCAGUGCGGAGAGGCUUUUUUUGCCCUCUCAUCCUGAGACUUACAAAGCUGAGCGUCUGGGCUGGAGCAGCUCUCUACUUCUCCAAACUGAAUCUGCGCUGAUCGGUGAUUACGGUGGGGAAGAGACCGACUACAGAUAUGUACUUUAUAUGACCCCACUUCAAAAAACACGAACUAUCCCUUUAAACUUUCAUACUAAAAUCUGGAAGUUAUGAUGCAAUAAUGGAUGAGCUGGAAGCAACCCAGGAGGGAGCUGUGGCUCUGGUGGCAGUAGUCAACGAAGAGGAGGUGCCUCAAGGAGUUCCCUUUGACACCCAGCAUGUGUCGAUUGUCCUCGAGGAUCAAGUUGUAAUGUCUCAAAAGGCUAUACAUCUAUACAUCUCUUUCACCUGCAUACAUACAAGAUGAUCACUCUGGUUAAGCUCCAGAGAUCCUGUAUAUAUGCGCUGUAAAACCCGAGUUAGUUGAACUCAAACCAUUUGAGGAAACCGAUUGCCUUAAACCAUUUAAGUUUAUUCACCUA